This 128-nucleotide non-coding RNA is filed under the name Palpitomonas bilix. The record is from RNAcentral.
CUCAGGUGGGGUGUCAUCGUCGAAAGAGGGCUGGUGGAGGAGGAGUUGGGCGCCAUUUUGUAUCAACUCUGACUUCUUUUCUUUUUGUCUCUCUCUUUUUCCCACUCUCUCGUUCCCUCUCUUUUAUC